AGAGUUUGAUCCUGGCUCAGAACGAACGCUGGCGGCGUGGCUAACCCAUGCAAGUCGAGCGCGAAAGUUCCCUUCGGGGAGCAAUUAGCGCGGCGAAAGGGUGAGUAAUACAUGGGUAACGUACCCUGGGCACGAGGAUAGUCCACCGAAAGGUGGAGCAAUACUCGAUGAGACCACGGCUCCUGCGGGAGCAGCGGUCAAAGGAUGGGGAUCCCGACAUACGUCGGGACCUAUUGGCCUGGGAUCGGCCCAUGUCCCAUCAGCUUGUUGGUAGGGUAACGGCCUACCAAGGCGACGACGGGUAGCCGGACUGAGAGGUUGACCGGCCUCAUUGGGACUGAGACACUGCCCAGACUCCUACGGGAGGCUGCAGGGAUGAAUAUUCCGCAAUGGGCGAAAGCCUGACGGAGCGACGCCGCGUGUGGGAAUAAGCUCUUCGGGGUGUAAACCACUGUCAGGGGUUACCAAGCAAAUCCCCCUAAUACGGGGAGGCGUUGAGGAGCCCCAGAGGAAGCCACGGCUAACUUCGUGCCAGCAGCCGCGGUAAGACGAAGGUGGCGAGCGUUGUUCGGAAUCACUGGGCUUAAAGAGCACGUAGGCGGCCCAUCAAGCGUCUUGUGAAAUCCCUCGGCUCAACCGAGGAAUUGCUUGGCGAACUGGCAGGCUUGAGGCAGGGAGGGGCGUAUGGAACUCUUGGUGGAGCGGUGAAAUGCGUAGAUAUCAAGAGGAACGCCGGAGGCGAAAGCGAUACGCUGGGC
RNAcentral lists this ribosomal RNA (758 nucleotides) under uncultured bacterium. RNAcentral describes it as "bacterial SSU rRNA". It matches the Rfam family "Bacterial small subunit ribosomal RNA", at positions 8 to 734 of the family's 1533-position model. The record is from RNAcentral.